CCCUUAGAUGUCCUGGGCCGCACGCGCGCUACACUGAUGUGUCCAGUAAGCACCUAACCUCUUCCGAAAGGAACGGGUAACCUUUGCAAAGCACAUCGUGAUGGGGAUAGAUUAUUGCAAUUAUUAGUCUUGAACGAGGAAUUCCUAGUAAGCACAAGUCAUCAGCUUGUGUUGAUUACGUCCCUGCCCUUUGUACACACCGCCCGUCGCUCCUACCGAUUGAAUGUUCCGGUGAGCUCUUCGGACUGCGCGGUCUGCAGUUUCUGCGUUCCGUGCGGAAAGUUGCGCAAACCUUAACAUUUAGAGGAAGGAGAAGUCGUAACA
This 324-nucleotide ribosomal RNA is filed under the name uncultured eukaryote. RNAcentral describes it as "partial 18S ribosomal RNA". It matches the Rfam family "Eukaryotic small subunit ribosomal RNA", at positions 1470 to 1796 of the family's 1831-position model. The record is from RNAcentral.